CGCGUAGGCGGCCACUGCAAGUCAGUUGUGAAAUCUCCGGGCUUAACUCGGAAAGGUCAACUGAUACUGCAGGGCUAGAGUGCGGAAGGGGCAACUGGAAUUCUCGGUGUAGCGGUGAAAUGCGUAGAUAUCGAGAGGAACACCUGCGGCGAAGGCGGGUUGCUGGGCCGACACUGACGCUGAGGCGCGAAAGCUAGGGGAGCGAAC
This 207-nucleotide ribosomal RNA is filed under the name uncultured bacterium. RNAcentral's name for it is "partial 16S ribosomal RNA". It matches the Rfam family "Bacterial small subunit ribosomal RNA", at positions 568 to 773 of the family's 1533-position model. The record is from RNAcentral.